AUGUGUAUAUAUAUAUAUAUAUAUAUACACAUAUAUAUAUAUAUAUAUGUGUGUGUGUGUAUAUAUAUAUAUGUGUGUGUGU
Podarcis lilfordi (Lilford's wall lizard) is the source of this 82-nucleotide non-coding RNA. The record is from the annotation of a GenBank genome assembly. NCBI's taxonomy places the organism in Eukaryota, Metazoa, Chordata, Lepidosauria, Squamata, Lacertidae.